RNAcentral lists this long non-coding RNA (307 nucleotides) under Nicotiana benthamiana. RNAcentral describes it as "long non-coding RNA (NBEN_LNC028999)". The record is from RNAcentral. Lineage: Eukaryota; Viridiplantae; Streptophyta; Magnoliopsida; Solanales; Solanaceae.
AGGGUGCUCAAAGAAGUCUGCCACUUCCAACUGGGUGAUGUCAAAAUUAUUGUCAGAGACAAAAUUGGUUUCAGGGCCUUUACUCUUUAGAGAUGCUUGAUAAAGCUCAAGCAAAUGUCUUGGUACACGAUAAAUUUUUUGCCCAGUGCCCUUUUCCACCGCAACGAUAACGAUAACAAAUUCGUGCUUGUGGCAGAGUGACCAACUUUAAGUUGUCAUAUCUCUCCUUUAAUCCAUUCCACAAGAUAAGUGGAUCUUUGACUGUGAGAUAUUCAAUUUUCAAACCUUCAUCAAGGUGAUGGCGCAA